AACCCCUAGCCCUUCCAAGGCUAACGAUGCGGGUUCGAUUCCCCGCUACCCGCU
This 54-nucleotide transfer RNA is filed under the name Ruellia novogaliciana. Its description in RNAcentral is "partial tRNA-Gly". Lineage: Eukaryota; Viridiplantae; Streptophyta; Magnoliopsida; Lamiales; Acanthaceae. The record is from RNAcentral.